This 405-nucleotide ribosomal RNA is filed under the name uncultured prokaryote. RNAcentral's name for it is "bacterial SSU rRNA". It matches the Rfam family "Bacterial small subunit ribosomal RNA", at positions 355 to 774 of the family's 1533-position model. The record is from RNAcentral.
UGGGGAAUAUUGGGCAAUGGGCGCAAGCCUGACCCAGCAACGCCGCGUGAGGGAAGAAGGUCUUCGGAUUGUAAACCUCUGUCCUUGGGGACGAAAAAAAUGACGGUACCCAAGGAGGAAGCUACGGCUAACUACGUGCCAGCAGCCGCGGUAAUACGUAGGGAGCGAGCGUUGUCCGGAAUUACUGGGCGUACAGGGUGCGUAGGCGGCGCUGCAAGUCAGAUGUGAAAUCCCCGGGCUUAACUCGGGGGGUGCAUUUGAAACUGCAGUGCUUGAGUGCAGGGGAGGAAAGCGGAAUUCCUAGUGUAGCGGUGAAAUGCGUAGAUAUUAGGAAGAACACCAGUGGCGAAGGCGGCUUUCUGGACUGUAACUGACGCUGAUGCGCGAAAGCGUGGGGAGCAAACA